AUCCAGCCGACGGGUCCCAAAUCUAACGAAACGCGCGUCCUGGAU
This 45-nucleotide non-coding RNA is filed under the name Schistosoma margrebowiei. Lineage: Eukaryota; Metazoa; Platyhelminthes; Trematoda; Strigeidida; Schistosomatidae. The record is from RNAcentral.